CACGUCGUCCACUUCGGUCGAGCGGACCUUGCGGUUACCUCGCCCUCCUGCUGGCUAGCGGCCGACGGGAGAGUAACACGUAGGCAAUUCGCCCGUAAGAGCGGGAUAACUACCGGAAACGGUAGCUAAUACCGGAUAUAUCAAGUUUCUCGCAUGAGGGGCUUGGGAAAGGCGGAGCAAUCUGUCACUUACGGAUGGGCCUGCGGCGCAUUAGCUAGUUGGUGGGGUAACGGCUCACUAAGGCGAUGAUGCGUAGCCGACCUGAGAGGUUGAACGGCCACACUGGGACUGAGACACGGCCCACGACACCUACGGGAGGCAGCAGUAGGGAACCUGUCCGCAAUGGACGAAAGUCGAACGGAGCAACGCCGCGUGAGUGAAGAAGGUGUUCGGAUCUGGUAAAGCUCUGUUGCCAGGGAAGAACGUCUUCUGGAGUAACUGUGCGGGAGAGUGACGGUACCUGAGAAGAAAGCCCCGGCGACCGUACGUGCCAGCAGCCGCGCUUAAUACGUUUGGGGCCAGCGUUGUCCGGAAUUAUUGGGCGUAAAGCUCAUCGCAGGCGGCUGUUUAAGUCUGGUGUUUAAUCCUGGCUCUCAACUUCGGGUCGCACUGUCAACUGGAUGCCUUGAGAGCAGAAGAGGAGAGUGGUGUUCCACCGUGUAGCGGUGAAAUGCGUAGAGAUGUGGAGGAAUUCCAGUGGCGAAGGCGACUCUCUGGGCAUCCAACUGACGCUGAGGCGCGGAAGCGUGGGGAGCAAACAGACUUAGAUACCCUGGUAGUCCACGCCGUAAACCCAUGAGUUCUAGGUGUUAGGGGUUUCAUUACCCUUGGUGCCGGCACGUAAACACAUUAAGCACUCUUCCUGGGGAGUAUCGGUCGCCUGACUGAAACUCCAAGGAAUUGACGGGGACCCGCACUGGCAGUGGGGUAUGUGGUUUAAUCCGAAGCAACGCGAAUCACCUUACCAGGUCUUGACAUCCCUUCGACCGGUACAGAGAUGUACUACUGCUUCGGGACAGAGAAGACAGGUGGUGUCUGGUUGUCGUCAGCUCGUCUCUUGAGAUGUUGGGUUAAGCCCCGCAACGAGCGCAACCCCUAACUUUAGUUGCCAGCUAGUAAGGUUUUGCACUCUAGAGUGACCCCCGGUGACAAACCUGAGGAAGAUGGGGAUGACGUCAAAUAGAUAUGCCCCUUAUGACCUGGGCUACCACAUUUACUACAAUGGCCCCACUACAACGGGAACCGAAGGAGCGACGAUGGAGCGAAUCCUAGAAAAUACGGUCUCAAAUCGGAUUGCAGGCUGCAACUCGCGUGCAUUAAAAGUCGGAAUUGCUAGUAAUCGCGGAUUUGCAUGCCGCGGUGAAUACGUUAGCCGGGUCUUGUUUACACCGCCCGUCACACCAGGAGAGGACACAACAGGAAGAAGGACGUGAGGAAACCGAA
This 1443-nucleotide ribosomal RNA is filed under the name Paenibacillus sp. RNAcentral's name for it is "bacterial SSU rRNA". It matches the Rfam family "Bacterial small subunit ribosomal RNA". The record is from RNAcentral. Lineage: Bacteria; Bacillati; Bacillota; Bacilli; Caryophanales; Paenibacillaceae.